This 612-nucleotide ribosomal RNA is filed under the name uncultured bacterium. RNAcentral's name for it is "bacterial SSU rRNA". It matches the Rfam family "Bacterial small subunit ribosomal RNA", at positions 338 to 1434 of the family's 1533-position model. The record is from RNAcentral.
CCUACGGGAGGCAGCAGUGGGGAAUCUUGCGCAAUGGGCGAAAGCCUGACGCAGCAACGCCGCGUGCGGGAAGAAGGCUUUCGGGCUGUAAACCGCUUUCAGCAGGAACGAAAAUGACGGUACCUGCAGAAGAAGGAGCGGCCAACUAUGUGCCAGCAGCCGCGGUGAUACAUAGGCUUCAAGCGUUGUCCGGAUUUAUUGGGCGUAAAGAGUUCGUAGGCGGUCGAGUAAGUCGGGUGUGAAAAUUCUGGGCUCAACCCAGAGACGCCACCCGAUACUGCUUGACUUGAGUUCGAUAGGGGAGUGGGGAAUUCCUAGUGUAGCGGUGAAAUGCGCAGAUAUUAGGAGGAACACCGGUGGCGAAGGCGCCACUCUGGAUCGAUACUGACGCUGAGGAACGAAAGCAUGGGUAGCAAACAGGAUUAGAUACCCUGGUAGUCCAUGCCGUAAACGGUGGGCACUAGGUGUGGGUUUCUAUUAACGAAAUCCGCGCCGUCGCUAACGCAUUAAGUGCCCCGCCUGGGGAGGUACGGUCGCGAGACGUAAACGUUAAAGGUAAAGUUAGUAACGGUCGUGAGACGUGCCGACGGACGACGACGAGGGGAGGUUAGG